Molecule: ribosomal RNA, 447 nt
Filed under: uncultured bacterium
Lineage: Bacteria
Description: bacterial SSU rRNA
Rfam family: Bacterial small subunit ribosomal RNA
Source: RNAcentral
ACUCCUACGGGAGGCAGCAGUGGGGAAUAUUGGACAAUGGGCGCAAGCCUGAUCCAGCCAUGCCGCGUGAGUGAUGAAGGCCCUAGGGUUGUAAAGCUCUUUUGUGCGGGAAGAUAAUGACGGUACCGCAAGAAUAAGCCCCGGCUAACUUCGUGCCAGCAGCCGCGGUAAUACGAAGGGGCUAGCGUUGCUCGGAAUCACUGGGCGUAAAGGGUGCGUAGGCGGGUCUUUAAGUCAGGGGUGAAAUCCUGGAGCUCAACUCCAGAACUGCCUUUGAUACUGAAGAUCUUGAGUUCGGGAGAGGUGAGUGGAACUGCGAGUGUAGAGGUGAAAUUCGUAGAUAUUCGCAAGAACACCAGUGGCGAAGGCGGCUCACUGGCCCGAUACUGACGCUGAGGCACGAAAGCGUGGGGAGCAAACAGGAUUAGAUACCCUGGUAGGAUAGCG